GAAACUGCGUACGGCUCAUUACACCAGCCUUAAUUUACUUGACCUUGACAACCUACUUGGAUAACUGUGGUAAUUCUAGAGCUAAUACAUGCACCAAAGCUCCGAUCCUCGCGGAGAGGAGCGCAUUUGUUCGCCACAAAACCAAGCGCCCAUCUGGGCGUCCAGUGCUGAACCAGAACAACUCAGCUGAUCGCACGGUCUUGUACCGGCGACGUGUCUUUCAAGUGUCUGCCUUAUCAACUUUCGAUGGUAGUGUACCUGACUACCAUGGUUGUGACGGGUAACGGAGGAUAAGGGUUCGACUCCGGAGAAGGGGCCUGAGAAAUGGCCACUACGUCUAAGGAUGGCAGCAGGCGCGCAAAUUACCCACUCUCAACGCGAGGAGGUAGUGACGAGAAAUAACGAGACCGUUCUCAUACGAGGCCGGUUAUUGGAAUGGGUACAAUUUAAACCCUUUAACGAGUAUCUAUGAGAGGGCAAGUCUGGUGCCAGCAGCCGCGGUAAUUCCAGCUCUCAAAA
This 519-nucleotide ribosomal RNA is filed under the name unidentified nematode Sourhope farm. Its description in RNAcentral is "SSU rRNA". It matches the Rfam family "Eukaryotic small subunit ribosomal RNA", at positions 83 to 596 of the family's 1831-position model. The record is from RNAcentral. Lineage: Eukaryota; Metazoa; Nematoda.